GGCUGGUCUGAGAGCAGCAGUGCUCACAAUGAACGGAUCGCAACCAGUUACCGAUUCCUUCCUUCUUUCUCCACUCUCACCAGUUCACUUGACUGGCCUUAA
Molecule: unclassified non-coding RNA, 102 nt
Organism: Otolemur garnettii (small-eared galago)
Lineage: Eukaryota; Metazoa; Chordata; Mammalia; Primates; Galagidae
Rfam family: Y RNA
About the family: Y RNAs are components of the Ro ribonucleoprotein particle (Ro RNP), in association with Ro60 and La proteins. The Y RNAs and Ro60 and La proteins are well conserved, but the function of the Ro RNP is not known.
Source: Ensembl